UGGUAGAAUGAAAGGGGAGGAAAACGAACAGAAACCUCUAAUUGCCCAGGUUUGCUGCCUUGAAUAUUUCCGCAAGUAGCUCUGAGGCAGGCGGCGGCACGGUCCAUGUUUUCAGACCUGACAAUGGUUUCUGAAGUUCCCACAGAAGUCUGAGAUGGUGGCCAGUAAUUUCUCCUUGAAGCCUAACGCACCUUACCCAGUGACUAGAGAUAACUGUUGUGAAGAGUUUAGUGUUGAAUCAAAGGACCUAGUGCUUCUUUCUUGAACAUGACACACAAAAAAAAAAAUUCCAAAGAACAUGGCCCAAAGGAAAACAGACCACAAAAUUUAAGGAGUCUCAGCUUGCUGGGUUAUGAGAUCCUUCUUUGGGGCGGCCCACUUACGCCUUGGCCUUGACUUCUGCUAUCUGCGUUGGAAGAAAAGCCUAAGACAGGUAAUAUUUGCUUGUCACAUGGAAUCUAGGACUCAGUGGCGGUCGCCAGGCAAGUGACCGUUCCAUCCUCUGGAUAAGGCGUUAACAGGCUCUACUUAGGCGCCACACGUGUCCGUCCGGUUGCUGUCACAGUUAAGCCUCAGCCACCACUAACGUCUUUAGGUUAAAUGAACUUACCACAUCAUUAGUAUGCAGAGCCUUGGGGAACAGAACAGGCAUGUGUUACGGAGGAGAAAUGGGUUGGUGAAUCAGUGCCUGGGCGGGGACAUUGCAAUAGGGGCUCUGGGCAGCUGAUGCUCCGGAGGGAAUUUGAAAGGGAAAGAAGGGGCCAUGGCCCGAAGGGUGGGCUACGUUCAGGGCAUAUACUUUACACACUUCGUGAUUUUUGUCUUGGGCAGACAGUAAUCGUUAUAGUAUAAAGUUAGACUUGGGCUGAUUUUGAUUAAUUUCUAUCAGCACAGACUUGUCCAAGGGCUCUCCCUCUUUACGUCCUGCUCCAGAACCUUGGCCUUGGAGGAAUUUAAACAGGCCUUGAAGGCUGAGUAAGGAGUAGCCACACUGCCGUCAGGUCCCCUAACAUCCAUGGUCCCGCGCAUGGCCCAUCUUAGAAGACUGCUUGGCCCGGCCUCCCUCGUCCAGUGUGGCCAUGUGACCAGAUUCUGCUCCGGGGUGAUGAGUGGGAGUGGUGUGGGCAGUUUCUCCGUAGUGCCUUCUGUUCUAGGCCGGCUUCCCCGGAAGUAGAUGCUGACAGCAAGAGUGCAGCACAAGCUGUUUACUUGAGAAGGUGAGUCUAGGAAGCAUAAGGAGGGGAGUAGGGGAAGUGUGUGGGUCUGGAUUUUCUCAGUAGGUGCCAAGUGCAAGUACACGUACGAGGAUUUUGUUAAGGGAAACACGUGUGGGAGGGACAGCGGGGUGGGAGCCAGAUGAGGCCAGAGGGCUGGCGGACCAGCCGGCAAACGUGAGUCUGGCCCGAAGUGAAGGAGAGGAGGAAGGCCUUGCGCUGCCUGCCAGGCUGAGGAGAGGUAGCACAGCCGGCAUCAGGGGGCCCCGGUUCCCCUGGGAACGACCUGCGUUGGGGUCCUUGUGACGGUCAGCGACUGGAGCAGUCCGCGGGAAGAAGGCCUCGCGCGGGCACAGCCGGGGGCCUCGUGGCACGGCGGCCAGCCUUGGUGACUGUACCCUUGGGGUCGGAGGCCAGGCCUUGGCGCGUCCUCCCGCCACUGCGGGAAGUGAGGCGGGGAGGGAAGGGACGUUAAGAGCGUACCGUCGAGCAUCCGUCCGGGGCCGCCGAGGCACCACCUGCUGGCAUCCUCUGGGGACCGGGUCAGUCCCCACCCGAGGGGCGUGCAGCUGAGGGGCAACACGCCCCCACCUGUCGAAACCGCUGACGGGUUUGUCUUCGCUACAGGAGCCGCGCGAGAGACACCUUGAGAAAGUGGUUUUGAGGAAGCGCUUCCACUCGCUCCUGCGUGGAAUCUUUCCAGCAGAGUUGCUGACAAACUGAACGUACGACCGACUGGGGUCAUGCAUCCUCUUUCUUCGUGCUCCUCACGUGCUCCGCCCCCCUCAUUUCUGCUGGAGAAUUGGAAAAGCGUGAAAUGCCCCCCCAGAGUGAAGAACACAGCACAGGGGACUCUGGGUAAUCCACCCCUGCCCGCUGUAAGGACACGCUACCCAGUCCCGGAUCAUAGCCUCUUCUCUUCUUUACAACUCCGCGAGGAGACCUACGGUCGGGAGGAAAACGACAAAAACAAAAAAACAAACUAGGAAGAAAUACACCAUAGCAAUUACUGGCUGGAGGGUGGUGGAAUUACGGAUAUUUUUCUUUUAUUCCAUAAUUAAAUGCGGUUCUAACCCUUUUACUUCGAUGUUUGUAGUAAGACUAUUUUUCUACUUUUCUGUGUGCUUAAGUACUUCCAUAAUAAAAAUUAUAUUUUAAUUUCAAA
Herpailurus yagouaroundi (jaguarundi) is the source of this 2379-nucleotide long non-coding RNA. RefSeq lists it as uncharacterized. The transcript is spliced from 3 exons. NCBI's taxonomy places the organism in Eukaryota, Metazoa, Chordata, Mammalia, Carnivora, Felidae. The record is from RefSeq and is a predicted model, not a curated record.